Molecule: ribosomal RNA, 1346 nt
Filed under: uncultured bacterium
Lineage: Bacteria
Description: partial 16S ribosomal RNA
Rfam family: Bacterial small subunit ribosomal RNA
Source: RNAcentral
GACGAACGCUGGCGGCGUGCUUAACACAUGCAAGUCGAACGGAAAGGCCCUGCUUUUGUGGGGUGCUCGAGUGGCGAACGGGUGAGUAACACGUGAGUAACCUGCCCUUGACUUUGGGAUAACUUCAGGAAACUGGGGCUAAUACCGGAUAGGAGCUCCUGCUGCAUGGUGGGGGUUGGAAAGUUUCGGCGGUUGGGGAUGGACUCGCGGCUUAUCAGCUUGUUGGUGGGGUAGUGGCUUACCAAGGCUUUGACGGGUAGCCGGCCUGAGAGGGUGACCGGCCACAUUGGGACUGAGAUACGGCCCAGACUCCUACGGGAGGCAGCAGUGGGGAAUAUUGCACAAUGGGCGGAAGCCUGAUGCAGCAACGCCGCGUGCGGGAUGACGGCCUUCGGGUUGUAAACCGCUUUCGCCUGUGACGAAGCGUGAGUGACGGUAAUGGGUAAAGAAGCACCGGCUAACUACGUGCCAGCAGCCGCGGUGAUACGUAGGGUGCGAGCGUUGUCCGGAUUUAUUGGGCGUAAAGGGCUCGUAGGUGGUUGAUCGCGUCGGAAGUGUAAUCUUGGGGCUUAACCCUGAGCGUGCUUUCGAUACGGGUUGACUUGAGGAAGGUAGGGGAGAAUGGAAUUCCUGGUGGAGCGGUGGAAUGCGCAGAUAUCAGGAGGAACACCAGUGGCGAAGGCGGUUCUCUGGGCCUUUCCUGACGCUGAGGAGCGAAAGCGUGGGGAGCGAACAGGCUUAGAUACCCUGGUAGUCCACGCUGUAAACGGUGGGUACUAGGUGUGGGGUCCAUUCCACGGGUUCCGUGCCGUAGCUAACGCUUUAAGUACCCCGCCUGGGGAGUACGGCCGCAAGGCUAAAACUCAAAGGAAUUGACGGGGCCCCGCACAAGCGGCGGAGCAUGCGGAUUAAUUCGAUGCAACGCGUAGAACCUUGCCUGGGUUUGACAUGGAUCGGGAGUGCUCAGAGAUGGGUGUGCCUCUUUUGGGGUCGGUUCACAGGUGGUGCAUGGCUGUCGUCAGCUCGUGUCGUGAGAUGUUGGGUUAAGUCCCGCAACGAGCGCAACCCUUGUUCACUGUUGCCAGCACGUUAUGGUGGGGACUCAGUGGAGACCGCCGGGGUCAACUCGGAGGAAGGUGGGGAUGACGUCAAGUCAUCAUGCCCCUUAUGUCCAGGGCUUCACGCAUGCUACAAUGGCUGGUACAGAGAGUGGCGAGCCUGUGAGGGUGAGCGAAUCUCGGAAAGCCGGUCUCAGUUCGGAUUGGGGUCUGCAACUCGACCUCAUGAAGUCGGAGUCGCUAGUAAUCGCAGAUCAGCAACGCUGCGGUGAAUACGUUCCCGGGGCU